RNAcentral lists this ribosomal RNA (520 nucleotides) under Schizothorax macropogon. RNAcentral's name for it is "partial 16S ribosomal RNA". It matches the Rfam family "Bacterial large subunit ribosomal RNA", at positions 1838 to 2556 of the family's 2925-position model. The record is from RNAcentral. Lineage: Eukaryota; Metazoa; Chordata; Actinopteri; Cypriniformes; Cyprinidae.
ACCAAGUAUAGGAGGUCCAGCCUGCCCAGUGACCACAAGUUCAACCCCCGCGGUAUAAUGACCGUGCAAAGGUAGCGCAAUCACUUGUCUUUUAAAUAGAGACCUGUAUGAAUGGCUAAACGAGGGCUUAACUGUCUCCCCUUUCAAGUCAGUGAAAUUGAUCUACCCGUGCAGAAGCGCGUAUAAUAAUACAAGACGAGUAGACCCUUUGGAGCUUAAGGUACAUCACUCAGCCACGUCAAGCAACUUAAUAUUUAGCAAAAACCUUGUGGAAUAUGAUAUUUUACCUUCGGUUGCUCCGACCACGGACCAAAGAAAAGCCUCCAAGUGGACUGGGAGAACUUCCUAAAGCCAAGAGAGACAUCUCUAAGCCACAGAACAUCUGACCAAACAUGAUCCGGCUACAAAGCCGAUCAACGAACCAAGUUACCCUAGGGAUAAGAGCGCAAUCCUCUCCCAGAUUCCAUAUCGACGAGGGGGUUUACGACCUCGAUGUUGGAUCCGGACAUCCUAAUGGUGC